GACGAACGCUGGCGGCGUGCCUAACACAUGCAAGUCGAGCGAUGAAGCCCUUCGGGGUGGAUUAGCGGCGGACGGGUGAGUAACACGUGGGUAACCUGCCUUGUAGAGGGGGAUAGCCUUCCGAAAGGAAGAUUAAUACCGCAUAACAUCUUUUUAUCGCAUGGUAGAAAGAUCAAAGGAGCAAUCCGCUACAAGAUGGACCCGCGGCGCAUUAGCUAGUUGGUGAGGUAACGGCUCACCAAGUCAGCGAUGGAUAGGGGUUCU
Molecule: ribosomal RNA, 264 nt
Filed under: uncultured bacterium
Lineage: Bacteria
Description: partial 16S ribosomal RNA
Rfam family: Bacterial small subunit ribosomal RNA
Source: RNAcentral